RNAcentral lists this transfer RNA (86 nucleotides) under Collybiopsis luxurians FD-317 M1. RNAcentral's name for it is "tRNA-Leu (TAA) (tRNA-Leu-TAA-2-1)". It matches the Rfam family "tRNA". From Rfam's summary of the family: Transfer RNA (tRNA) molecules are approximately 80 nucleotides in length. Their secondary structure includes four short double-helical elements and three loops (D, anti-codon, and T loops). The record is from RNAcentral. Lineage: Eukaryota; Fungi; Basidiomycota; Agaricomycetes; Agaricales; Omphalotaceae.
GGUAGCGUGGCCGAGUUGGUCUAAGGCGUUGGAUUUAAGUUCCCAAUGAAGGUGACUUCGCGCGAGUUCGAAUCUCGCCGCUACCA